RNAcentral lists this microRNA (19 nucleotides) under Prunus persica (peach). RNAcentral's name for it is "microRNA miRNA_303". The record is from RNAcentral. Lineage: Eukaryota; Viridiplantae; Streptophyta; Magnoliopsida; Rosales; Rosaceae.
GGAAUGGGCUGUUUGGGAU